Molecule: long non-coding RNA, 1009 nt
Filed under: Serinus canaria (Common canary)
Lineage: Eukaryota; Metazoa; Chordata; Aves; Passeriformes; Fringillidae
Description: lncRNA (ENSSCAG00000001923.1)
Source: RNAcentral
UCCCUUAGGGCCGAGGCCAGAGUGUCCCCAAUGUCCCUGUCCCCAGUGUCCUUCAGGGUGGUGGCAUCGCUGUCCCCAGUGUCCCUGAUGUCCCCAGUGUCCCCAAUGUCCUGCAGGGUGGGGACAUCCCUGUCCCCAAUGUCCCCAAUGUCCCUGUCCCCAGGAGUGGGGACAUCGCUGUCCCAAAUGUCCCAAGGGAUGGUGACACCCCUGUCCCCAAUGUCCCCAGUGUCCUGCAGGGUGGGGACAGCCCUGUCCCCAAUGUCCCCAAUGUCCCUGACACCCCCCAGGUCCCCAAUGUCCCCAAGGUUCUUGACGCCCCCAAUGUCCCCAAUGAUGUCCCCAAUGUCCCUGAUGUCCCCAGUGAUGUCCCCAGUGUCCCCAAGGUUCCUGAUGUCCCCGACGUCUUUGAUGUCCCCAACACUCUUGAUGUCCCCAAUGCCUUUGAUGUCCCCAAUGAUGUCCCCAAUGUCCUCGAUGCCUUUGGUGUCCCCAACGUCCCCAGGGUUCUUGAUGUCCCCAGUGUCCCCAACAUCCCCGAUGUCCCCAGCAAUGUCCCCAAGGUCCCCAGCGAUGUCCCCAGGGUUCUUGAUGUCCCCAGUGAUGUCCCCAAUGUCCCCAAGGUUCUUGAUGUCCCCAAUGAUGUCCCCAACGUCCCCAAUGCCUUUGAUGUCCCCAGCGAUGUCCCCAGGGUUCUUGAUGUCCCCAAUGUCCCCAACAUCCCCGAUGUCCCCAAAGUUCCUGAUGUCCCCAAUAACGUCCCCAAUGUCCUUGGUGCCUUUGAUGUCCCCAGUGUCCCCAAUGUCCCCAAUGAUGUCCCCAAUGUCCUCAGGGCCUUUGAUGUCCCCGAUGUCCCCAAGGUUCUUGAUGUCCCCAACGUCCCCAAUGAUGUCCCCAAUGUCCUCAGGGCCUUUGAUGUCCCCAAGGUCCCCAGCGAUGUCCCCAGUGUCCCUGAUGUCCCCAAUGAUGUCCCUGACAUCCUCGGUGCCUUUGAUGUCCCCAUCGCCCC